This 497-nucleotide ribosomal RNA is filed under the name uncultured bacterium. RNAcentral describes it as "partial 16S ribosomal RNA". It matches the Rfam family "Bacterial small subunit ribosomal RNA", at positions 28 to 507 of the family's 1533-position model. The record is from RNAcentral.
GAUGAACGCUGGCGGCGUGCCUAAUACAUGCAAGUCGAGCGAACAGACGAGGAGCUUGCUCCUCUGAUGUUAGCGGCGGACGGGUGAGUAACACGUGGAUAACCUACCUAUAAGACUGGGAUAACUUCGGGAAACCGGAGCUAAUACCGGAUAAUAUAUUGAACCGCAUGGUUCAAUAGUGAAAGACGGUUUUGCUGUCACUUAUAGAUGGAUCCGCGCCGCAUUAGCUAGUUGGUAAGGUAACGGCUUACCAAGGCAACGAUGCGUAGCCGACCUGAGAGGGUGAUCGGCCACACUGGAACUGAGACACGGUCCAGACUCCUACGGGAGGCAGCAGUAGGGAAUCUUCCGCAAUGGGCGAAAGCUUGACGGAGCAACGCCGCGUGAGUGAUGAAGGUCUUCGGAUCGUAAAACUCUGUUAUUAGGGAAGAACGAAUGUGUAAGUAACUAUGCACGUCUUGACGGUACCUAAUCAGAAAGCCACGGCUAACUACGUG